RNAcentral lists this ribosomal RNA (502 nucleotides) under uncultured bacterium. RNAcentral describes it as "partial 16S ribosomal RNA". It matches the Rfam family "Bacterial small subunit ribosomal RNA", at positions 30 to 523 of the family's 1533-position model. The record is from RNAcentral.
AUUGAACGCUGGCGGAAUGCUUUACACAUGCAAGUCGAACGGCGGCACGGGUGCUUGCACCUGGUGGCGAGUGGCGAACGGGUGAGUAAUAUAUCGGAACGUACCCAGUAAUGGGGGAUAACGAGUCGAAAGAUUCGCUAAUACCGCAUACGCCCUGAGGGGGAAAGCGGGGGAUCGUAAGACCUCGCGUUAUUGGAGCGGCCGAUAUCUGAUUAGCUAGUUGGUGGGGUAAAGGCCCACCAAGGCGACGAUCAGUAGCUGGUCUGAGAGGACGACCAGCCACACGGGAACUGAGACACGGUCCAGACUCCUACGGGAGGCAGCAGUGGGGAAUUUUGGACAAUGGGGGCAACCCUGAUCCAGCCAUUCCGCGUGAGUGAAGAAGGCCUUCGGGUUGUAAAGCUCUUUCGCGAGGAAAGAAAACUCACCCAAUAACACUGGGUGAGGCUGACGGUACCUUGAUAAGAAGCACCGGCUAACUACGUGCCAGCCGCCGCAGUAA